Bicyclus anynana (squinting bush brown) is the source of this 267-nucleotide long non-coding RNA. RefSeq lists it as uncharacterized. The transcript has 6 exons. Lineage: Eukaryota; Metazoa; Arthropoda; Insecta; Lepidoptera; Nymphalidae. The record is from RefSeq and is a predicted model, not a curated record.
CGGAGGGUGAAGGCAAAGGAUCAGAAGAAGCCAAUGCAGCUGCUAAAGCGGAAAGCGAUGGAAAUGGAUCUGCUGAGGCAAAUGCAGCUGCUAAAGCGGAAGGAGAAGGCAAGGGAUCUGCCAAUGCUGCAGCUGAAGCUGAAAGUAAAGGCGAAGGAUCUGCUGUAGCAAAUGCUCAAGCCAUUGCGGAAACAAAAGAAAAUGAAGGCAAGAAAGGAAAAGGAAGCGAAGAAAAUGGCGGUAGUGGAUCGAAGGGAGGCAAAAAUG